GUGGGGAAUCUUGCGCAAUGGGCGAAAGCCUGACGCAGCCAUGCCGCGUGAAUGAUGAAGGUCUUAGGAUUGUAAAAUUCUUUCACCGGGGACGAUAAUGACGGUACCCGGAGAAGAAGCUCCGGCUAACUUCGUGCCAGCAGCCGCGGUAAUACGAAGGGGGCUAGCGUUGCUCGGAAUUACUGGGCGUAAAGGGCGCGUAGGCGGACAGCUUAGUCAGAGGUGAAAGCCCAGGGCUCAACCUUGGAAUUGCCUUUGAUACUGGCUGGCUUGAGUUUGGGAGAGGUGAGUGGAACUCCGAGUGUAGAGUGGAAAUUCGUAGAUAUUCGGAAGAACACCAGUGGCGAAGGCGACUCACUGGCCCAAUACUGACGCUGAGGCGCGAAAGCGUGGGGAGCAAACAGGAUUAGAAACCCGGGUAGUCC
Molecule: ribosomal RNA, 425 nt
Filed under: uncultured bacterium
Lineage: Bacteria
Description: partial 16S ribosomal RNA
Rfam family: Bacterial small subunit ribosomal RNA
Source: RNAcentral